This 497-nucleotide ribosomal RNA is filed under the name uncultured bacterium. RNAcentral's name for it is "bacterial SSU rRNA". It matches the Rfam family "Bacterial small subunit ribosomal RNA", at positions 239 to 753 of the family's 1533-position model. The record is from RNAcentral.
UAUCAGCUAGUUGGUGAGGUAACGGCUCACCAAGGCAUCGACGGGUAGCUGGUCUGAGAGGACGAUCAGCCACACUGGGACUGAGACACGGCCCAGACUCCUACGGGAGGCAGCAGUGGGGAAUCUUGCGCAAUGGGCGAAGCCUGACGCAGCAACGCCGCGUGGGGGAUGAAGGCUCUCGGGUUGUAAACCCCUUUCAGCAGGGACGAAAUUGACGGUACCUGCAGAAGAAGCCCCGGCUAACUACGUGCCAGCAGCCGCGGUAACACGUAGGGGGCAAGCGUUGUCCGGAUUUAUUGGGCGUAAAGAGCUCGUAGGUGGCUAAGUAAGUCGGGUGUCAAAUCCCCAGGCUCAACCUGGGUCCCCACUCGAUACUGCUUUUGGCUAGAGUCCGGUAGGGGAGCGUGGAAUUCCUGGUGUAGCGGUGAAAUGCGCAGAUAUCAGGAGGAACACCAGCGGCGAAGGCGGCGCUCUGGGCCGGUACUGACACUGAGGAG